GAGGAAUCUUGCGCAAUGGGCGAAAGCCUGACGCAGCGACGCCGCGUGGAGGAAGACAGCCUUCGGGUUGUAAACUCCUGUCAGAGGUGAAGAAUCCCCGCAAGGGGUUGACGGUAACCUCAAAGGAAGCCCCGGCUAACUACGUGCCAGCAGCCGCGGUAAUACGUAGGGGGCAAACGUUACUCGGAAUUACUGGGCGUAAAGGGUGUGUAGGUGGUUGAGUAAGUCAAAGAUGAAAUUCCGAGGCUCAACUUCGGAAUCGUCUUUGAAACUGCUCGGCUUGAGGAUAGUAGAGGAGAAUGGAAUUCCCGGUGGAGCGGUGAAAUGCGUAGAUAUCGGGAGGAACACCCGAGGCGUAAGCGAUUCUCUAGGCUAUUCCUGACGCUGAAACACGAAAGCUAGGGGAGCGAACGG
Molecule: ribosomal RNA, 414 nt
Filed under: uncultured bacterium
Lineage: Bacteria
Description: bacterial SSU rRNA
Rfam family: Bacterial small subunit ribosomal RNA
Source: RNAcentral